Molecule: non-coding RNA, 80 nt
Filed under: unclassified sequences
Description: skipping-rope RNA
Rfam family: skipping-rope RNA
About the family: Firmicutes, Fusobacteria, AlphaProteobacteria, Spirochaetes. Downstream gene
Source: Rfam by way of RNAcentral
AACUGCUGAAGAUAGAACAUGCAGCUAUCGCACCUUUAUGGUUUUAAAGAGAUGUCGGAAACGCCAACCGACCAGCAGUA